This 506-nucleotide long non-coding RNA is filed under the name Numida meleagris (helmeted guineafowl). Its description in RNAcentral is "lncRNA (ENSNMEG00000017772.1)". Lineage: Eukaryota; Metazoa; Chordata; Aves; Galliformes; Numididae. The record is from RNAcentral.
AUGAGCAUAAUGUUCUACUUCCUUAUUCUUCUGGAAGAUCAUCUUCAACGAGGGAUGCUUGCAAAAGAUAAUGGGUUCCUUGUUCCUGGUUUACCACUGUGUGGCGGAUUAUGCCUGGAAGUUGUUGUCUAUUCCUGGACUGUGCCUUGCAGUACAGACCUGAACCCUACUACGGUCUUGUUUAGAGCAGCUUCUUCUAUCAGGGUAUAAAGAACAAUUAACAAUAUCAGAAAGGAAAUGAAAGGACUUGUUGAUCAUUCUGUCUGACCUCUUGUUUCCCUGAAGGGGUGGAUUUUACAUUUUGUUCCAAAUCUAACCAUCAAAUUCUAAGAACCACUUCACAUUCCUGUUUGCUUUCUGGGACUGACACUGUGCAGGAAAGCCCAUGAAGCCAUGGAGAACUUCACAUUUAUUAUGCUUUAUUUUACAGUAUUACAGUAUGCACACGGUGUCUUGCAUUUGCCAUGAUGAAUAAAGUAACAAACUUCCAGGGAUAAUGAAACUUG